ACACGACUACAUUAGAUACCCGGGUAGUCCUAGCCGUAAACGAUACUCGCUAGGUGUCGGCCACGGUGCGACCGUUGUCGGUGCCGUAGGGAAGCCGUGAAGCGAGCCACCUGGGAAGUACGGCCGCAAGGCUGAAACGUUAAAGGAAUUGGCGGGGGAGCACCACAAGAGGUGGAGGCUGCGGUUCAAUUGGACUCAACGCCGGAAAACUCAUCGGGAGCGACAGCAGUAUGAUUGCCAGGUUGAUGACCUUGCUUGACAAGCUG
This 266-nucleotide ribosomal RNA is filed under the name uncultured archaeon. Its description in RNAcentral is "partial 16S ribosomal RNA". It matches the Rfam family "Archaeal small subunit ribosomal RNA", at positions 717 to 982 of the family's 1478-position model. The record is from RNAcentral.